Stegodyphus dumicola is the source of this 677-nucleotide long non-coding RNA. Lineage: Eukaryota; Metazoa; Arthropoda; Arachnida; Araneae; Eresidae. The record is from RefSeq and is a predicted model, not a curated record.
AUCCCAGAGCAUCACCUAGAAAGCGGCUGAAGCGAAAGCAGAGUAGCACUCGUGGCUCCCACUCUUAUCCUUCAGUUCUUCUGAAUCAACUUUUCUUCAGAACUCUUUAAUAGAGGGAUCCGAAGAUAAAUUCCUAAAAAGGAAUUUCUCGCAGUGCUCAAAGGGCCGGCCGGACAGUAACAUCUCUGGACGCUGGUAGUUCGACCUGGUUGAAAUACCUGCAAAUCGGCUGCCUGCACGAUAGACUUAUCCAUGUGUAACAGGAAUUUAAGCAAGAUUUCAUUAAAAGUGCUGUAUAAAGAUAUCCUUAGGCAGAUAGACCUCGAAUGGUUUUCAAUAAUUUAGAUGAUUGGGUACUUCUAUUCGAUAGUUUGAUAGGCAGAAUCACGUAGAAUGAUAAUGGAAUAUCUUUUGUUUCAGUGGUUUCUUUAUCGUAAAAUGCUAUUUGAAACUUCAAGAUCUCAGACUACGUAACUCUGUAUUUGUUGUUUGCAAAACAUCGAAAGAAAAAAUACGAAUAUAUCCUGUUUUGAAUGAUUGAAAAGCUCAUCAAUAUAUGGAGAAGAGGCUUACGAUCCGGAGAUAACAGAUUUUCAGCGAUAUCAACUUUAGAGAGAAAUACAACCCAAACAUUGUAAAAGAGAUUGUAAGAAAUUUUAAAAAAUUAUUUCCUUUGA